AAUGUACUUCCUCCGUCCAAAAAUACUUGUCAUCAAAAUGAAUAAAAGGGGAUGUAUCUAGACAUACUUUAGUUCUAGAUACAUCUCUUUUUAUCCAUUUUGAUGACAAGUGUUUUCGGACAGAGGGAGUAUUUG
Non-coding RNA from Triticum urartu, 135 nucleotides. Lineage: Eukaryota; Viridiplantae; Streptophyta; Magnoliopsida; Poales; Poaceae. The record is from Rfam.